RNAcentral lists this ribosomal RNA (431 nucleotides) under uncultured bacterium. RNAcentral's name for it is "bacterial SSU rRNA". It matches the Rfam family "Bacterial small subunit ribosomal RNA", at positions 75 to 518 of the family's 1533-position model. The record is from RNAcentral.
CGGAUGAGUUAGGAAGAUGGAAAGACGGCGGACGGGUGAGUAACGCGUAGGCAACCUGCCUCAGCAGAGGAUAGCCAUUGGAAACGAUGAUUAAAACCUCAUAAUGCUGCAGUAACACAUGUUACAGCAGCCAAAGAUUUAUCGGCUGGGGAUGGGCCUGCGUCUGAUUAACUGGUUGGUGAGGUAACGGCUCACCAAGGUAACGAUCAGUAGCCGACCUGAGAGGGUGAUCGGCCACAUUGGAACUGAGACACGGUCCAAACUUCUACGGAAGGCAGCAGUAAGGAAUCUUGCACAAUGGGGGAAACCCUGAUGCCAGCAACGCCGCGUGAACGAUGAAGGCCUUAGGGUUGUAAAGUUCUGAUCUGUGGGAAGAAGAAAGUGACGGUACCACAGGAGAAAGCCCCGGCUAAAUACGUGCCAGCAGCCGC